CGGAGGAUCCAAGCGUUAUCCGGAAUCAUUGGGUUUAAAGGGUCCGUAGGCGGUUUAGUAAGUCAGUGGUGAAAGCCCAUCGCUCAACGGUGGAACGGCCAUUGAUACUGCUAGACUUGAAUUAUUAGGAAGUAACUAGAAUAUGUAGUGUAGCGGUGAAAUGCUUAGAGAUUACAUGGAAUACCAAUUGCGAAGGCAGGUUACUACUAAUGGAUUGACGCUGAUGGACGAAAGCGUGGGUAGCGAACAGGAUUAGAUACCCUGGUAGUCCACGCCGUAAACGACGGAUACUAGCUGUUGGGAGCGAUCUCAGUGGCUAAGCGAAAGUGAUAAGUAUCCCACCUGGGGAGUACGUUCGCAAGAAUG
This 366-nucleotide ribosomal RNA is filed under the name uncultured organism. RNAcentral describes it as "bacterial SSU rRNA". It matches the Rfam family "Bacterial small subunit ribosomal RNA", at positions 526 to 896 of the family's 1533-position model. The record is from RNAcentral.